UGUGUAAAGGCUGGGUUUUCCACCAGUGUGUGAGCUGUGUCUUCGUCAAACCUCAUUUCGAUAUUGACACAUUACCUGUCUGAU
RNAcentral lists this small nucleolar RNA (84 nucleotides) under Marmota monax (woodchuck). The record is from RNAcentral. Lineage: Eukaryota; Metazoa; Chordata; Mammalia; Rodentia; Sciuridae.